AAAAAAAAAAAAAAAAACUAUUUGUACACUCAGAAAUAUAAAUCUUACAUUAAAGACUUAUUGCCCACCUAGUUUAGACUAUAAAAUUAACAUAAAAUUUAUUAAUUCUGAUAAUUAUUUUUUAUUUUAUAAAAAUUAAAAUUUAAUUUUAAUUACACUAUGGAAUAAAAAUAAUCUGAAUUUUGAAUUCAAAUUGGCCAAUUUCAAAAUACACUCAAAAUAUCCUCUCACAAAUACCUUCUACUCAUCUAUAUUUAUCACUCUUUUCAUUCUUAACUAAAAUUCUCUGUCAAAAUUUUAAAUGUCUAUUUCAAUUUCUAUUCUAAUAGUGAAUUAAAUAUUUUUAAAUAAUUCGUCGGUCUAUUUCCUACUCAAUUGCAAUUCAAUUUUAUUUUUUAUUUCUAUUCUAAUCAUAAAUAAAAUAUAUCCUAAAAGAUUAUUUAAGUUUUAGUAAAACUUAAUAAGAGAAAUAAAUAAAUUUAUAUCAUAGAAAUUUAGAAUGUAGAUUUACACACACACACACACACACACACACACACACACACACACACAUAUACAUAUAUAGAGAGAGAGAGAAGAGAGAGAAGAGAGAGCAGGUCUCGUGUGUUAUUAGGAGCACGGAGGUCUCCAUGCUCCUAAGCCGUUUUCGAUGACGAAGCUUCCGAAUUAAUGAUCGGUGCCGCUAGACUUGAUCUAACAUAUUUGAAGUAUCUAGAAAAUAAAUUUUGCAAUUUUUUGAUAUCAUUUACUUAACGAUUGAAAGGGUUCAAAAUCAAUGACUAAAAAUAAAAAUCUAAAAAAAAAUUGUGAUAUAAUAUUAAAUUUUCAAUAAAAAAUAUUGAUCUUAUAAUAAAUAGUAUAAAAAUUUUUUUAUUAAAAUUUCAUCUGAUUUGAAUACUCUACACCGCUAAACUUGCAAACAGUAUAUAUGAAUUAUUAAAAUUAUACCGACCGUCCCUAGAGCAAGUGACAAAGGGCUUGGCGGUUGGUACUUGAGACCCAAGUUCGAAUCCUAGUUGAUUCACAUUUCAAGCUAAGUUUAUUUCUAAAUGAAAUAAACAAAACGGAUUGCAUGCUACCUAUUUCUCAAAAAAAAAAAAAAAUUAUUGAUUUUGAACCAUUUCGAUUGCUAGAUAAAUGACAUCAAAAAAUCACAAAUUUUAUUUUUUAGAUACUUCAAAUAUACUAUAUUAAAUCUAACAGAGCCGAUCGGCGAUUCGAAAGCUAGCUCUAUUAUCGAAAAUGACUUAGAAGCAUUAAGGACUCCGUAUUCAUAAUAGCACACAAGACCUACUUUCUCUAUAUAUAGUAUUUCUCUUUCUCAACAUGAUUGAGCUUGCAAUUUUAAUUGUG
RNAcentral lists this long non-coding RNA (1353 nucleotides) under Ananas comosus (pineapple). RNAcentral's name for it is "long non-coding RNA (ACOM_LNC011157)". Lineage: Eukaryota; Viridiplantae; Streptophyta; Magnoliopsida; Poales; Bromeliaceae. The record is from RNAcentral.